AAGUCGUAACAAGGUUUCCGUAGGUGAACCUGCGGAAGGAUCAUUAAUGAAUUGUAUAGGGAGUUGAUGCUGGCAGUUUUCUGCAUGUGCUCGCUUCCGACAUUCUAUCCUAACACCUGUGCACACUAUAGGAGGUCUGACGAACACUUUUCCGUUUCGGACUUGUGCGAAUCAGCCUUCUUUCUCAUAAACUCUUAUGAAUUAUUGAACGUGAUUGUGCCGCAAGGCCAUUAACUUAUACAACUUUUAACAACGGAUCUCUUGGCUCUC
RNAcentral lists this unclassified non-coding RNA (270 nucleotides) under fungal sp. RNAcentral's name for it is "partial internal transcribed spacer region". The stretch from base 1 to 46 matches the Rfam family "Eukaryotic small subunit ribosomal RNA", at positions 1786 to 1831 of the family's 1831-position model. The record is from RNAcentral. Lineage: Eukaryota; Fungi.